RNAcentral lists this ribosomal RNA (431 nucleotides) under uncultured bacterium. Its description in RNAcentral is "partial 16S ribosomal RNA". It matches the Rfam family "Bacterial small subunit ribosomal RNA", at positions 29 to 505 of the family's 1533-position model. The record is from RNAcentral.
AACGAACGCUGGCGGCAUGCCUAACACAUGCAAGUCGAACGAGACCUUCGGGUCUAGUGGCGCACGGGUGCGUAACGCGUGGGAACCUGCCCUUAGGUUCGGAAUAACUCCCCGAAAGGGGUGCUAAUACCGGAUAAUGUCUUCGGACCAAAGAUUUAUCGCCUUUGGAUGGGCCCGCGUUGGAUUAGCUAGUUGGUAGGGUAAAAGCCUACCAAGGCGACGAUCCAUAGCUGGUCUGAGAGGAUGAUCAGCCACACUGGGACUGAGACACGGCCCAGACUCCUACGGGGGGCAGCAGGGGGGAAUAGUGGACAAUGGGGGAAAGCCUGAUCCAGCAAUGCCGGGUGAGGGAUUAAGGCCUUAGGGUUGUAAAGCUCUUUUACCCGGGAUGAUUAUGAAAGGACCGGGAAAAAAAGCCCCGGCUAACUCCG